Molecule: ribosomal RNA, 468 nt
Filed under: uncultured bacterium
Lineage: Bacteria
Description: bacterial SSU rRNA
Rfam family: Bacterial small subunit ribosomal RNA
Source: RNAcentral
GUACCAGACUCCUACGGGAGGCAGCAGUGAGGAAUAUUGGUCAAUGGGCGGGAGCCUGAACCAGCCAAGUCGCGUGAGGGAUGACGGCCCUAUGGGUUGUAAACCUCUUUUGCCGGGGAGCAAAGUGCCGCACGUGUGCGGUUUGGAGAGUACCCGGAGAAAAAGCAUCGGCUAACUCCGUGCCAGCAGCCGCGGUAAUACGGAGGAUGCGAGCGUUAUCCGGAUUUAUUGGGUUUAAAGGGUGCGUAGGCGGUAUUUUAAGUUAGUGGUAAAACGUCGGGGCUUCACCUUGAUUGGCCAUUAAAACUGGAGUACUAGAGUACAGACGAGGUAGGCGGAAUAAGUUAAGUAGCGGUGAAAUGCUUAGAUAUAACUUAGAACCCCGAUAGCGAAGGCAGCUUACCAGACUGUUACUGACGCUGAAGCACGAGAGCGUGGGUAGCGAACAGGAUUAGAUACCCCUGUAUG